RNAcentral lists this ribosomal RNA (862 nucleotides) under uncultured bacterium. RNAcentral describes it as "bacterial SSU rRNA". It matches the Rfam family "Bacterial small subunit ribosomal RNA", at positions 8 to 898 of the family's 1533-position model. The record is from RNAcentral.
AGAGGUUGAUCCUGGCUCAGCUUGAACGCUGGCGGCGUGGUUAAGACAUGCAAGUCGUACGGGUGUAGCAAUACACCAGUGGCGAACGGGUGAGUAAUGUAUCGCUAACGUGCCCCGAAGUCUGGGAUAGCUGCCCGAAAGGGCAGGUAAUACCAGAUGAGACCACGGCAGGGCAUCCUGCUGUGCUCAAAGCCGCAAGGCGCUUUGGGAGCGGGCGAUAUCGUAUCAGCUAGUUGGUGAGGUAACGGCUUACCAAGGCGAUGACGCGUAGCCGGACUGAGAGGUCGACCGGCCACAUCGGGACUGAGACACUGCCCGGACUCCUACGGGGGGCUGCAGUAACGAAUCUUGGGCAAUGCGCGAAAGCGUGACCCAGCGACGCCGCGUGCGGGAUGAAGUCCUUCGGGAUGUAAACCGYUGUCAGGGGUUACCAAGUUGAGGAACCCCAGAGGAAGUGGCGGCUAACUCUGUGCCAGCAGCCGUGGUAAGACAGAGGCCACAAGCGUUAGGCGGAAUCACUGGGCUUAAAGCGUGUGUAGGCGGAUCGUUAAGUGCCUUGUGAAAUCCCACGGCUCACCCGUGGAACUGCUGGGCAUACUGGCGAUCUUGAGCCAUCUAGGGGCGACUGGAACAGACGGUGGAGCGGUGAAAUGCGUAGAUAUCGUCUGGAACGCCAAGGGUGAAAACAGGUCGCUGGGGAUGUGCUGACGCUGAGACACGAAAGCCAGGGGAGCAAACGGGAUUAGAUACCCCGGUAGUCCUGGCCCUAAACGAUGUCCACUAGAUCGCAGCAGCUCUGAUUGUUGCGGUCGAAGCCAAAGUGCUAAGUGGACCGCCUGGGAAGUACGGUCGCAAGGCUAAA